AUUCGGUUUCAAUCAAUUCUGCGGCUACACUGUUCAAUAGUUGUUUAAUCAUUAUAUUUUGAUAACGGAAUUAUCGCAAUCGAAUUCAGUAUAUAUUAAUCACGAACUAAAAUACUGUGAUCUACAUUUGGGUAGGUAUUUAGCACAGACUUCUAUACUAGUGUACUAGUGUAGAAGUCUGUGGUAUUUAGGUAGUCGGGUAUAGUCCUAGUAUCUUGGUCCAUGACAUUUUAGUGUUUUACAGUCAAUUUAAAAUAAAAUUAUUUUUGUAAUGAUUAGCCGUGAUCCGUGCAAUUACCUAAUUAUAGAAGUUCAAUCAAGAAAACACACUAGAAAUGUAAUAAGAACAACACUUAAGGUAAUCUUAAAAAAAUAUUUUUUUUACAGAAUCGUUCAAGAAAGAAAAAUUAUGUUUUUAUUAAAUCACCAAAAUUCAUAUAAUUGUGCAAGUUCAAUGAAUAUAAUAUGCAAGAGGAAAAUUAAUCUUUUGAUUUUUAUGUAUACUCAUAAGGACAUCAGGAUCAUGUCAAUGUGUAUUAGUUGGACCACAAAAAAAUUAUUAUCCAAAUAGUUUGCGGUCAUAUUGGGUAUUAAACAGUGAAUUAGAAAAAGUAACUGAUGAAGUGUCAUAAUUCUAUGUAGUAAUGGAAAUAACAAUAACUAAUUUGAUGACAAGUAAAAUCUGGUUUUCAGAACUUACACAUACAGAAUCUAGACAGUUAUCUAAGUUAAAUAUACACCAGUAUAUUUAAACAUUUUAACAGAUUUCCACACCACCUUAGCAUUGUAUUCAACAAAACUGGAGGUGUAUAUAUUGAUAGUGUGUCAAAGUCACUGAA
Acyrthosiphon pisum (pea aphid) is the source of this 839-nucleotide long non-coding RNA. RefSeq lists it as uncharacterized. The record is from RefSeq and is a predicted model, not a curated record. The transcript is spliced from 4 exons. NCBI's taxonomy places the organism in Eukaryota, Metazoa, Arthropoda, Insecta, Hemiptera, Aphididae.